Molecule: ribosomal RNA, 465 nt
Filed under: Vreelandella stevensii
Lineage: Bacteria; Pseudomonadati; Pseudomonadota; Gammaproteobacteria; Oceanospirillales; Halomonadaceae
Description: partial 16S ribosomal RNA
Rfam family: Bacterial small subunit ribosomal RNA
Source: RNAcentral
CCUACGGGUGGCUGCAGUGGGGAAUAUUGGACAAUGGGCGAAAGCCUGAUCCAGCCAUGCCGCGUGUGUGAAGAAGGCCUUCGGGUUGUAAAGCACUUUCAGUGGGGAAGAAAGCCUUGGGGCUAAUACCCUCGAGGAAGGACAUCACCCACAGAAGAAGCACCGGCUAACUCCGUGCCAGCAGCCGCGGUAAUACGGAGGGUGCGAGCGUUAAUCGGAAUUACUGGGCGUAAAGCGCGCGUAGGCGGUCUGAUAAGCCGGUUGUGAAAGCCACGGGCUCAACCUGGGAACGGCAUCCGGAACUGUCAGGCUAGAGUGCAGGAGAGGAAGGUAGAAUUCCCGGUGUAGCGGUGAAAUGCGUAGAGAUCGGGAGGAAUACCAGUGGCGAAGGCGGCCUUCUGGACUGACACUGACGCUGAGGUGCGAAAGCGUGGGUAGCAAACAGGAUUAGAUACCCUGGUAGUC